RNAcentral lists this ribosomal RNA (425 nucleotides) under uncultured bacterium. RNAcentral describes it as "partial 16S ribosomal RNA". It matches the Rfam family "Bacterial small subunit ribosomal RNA", at positions 354 to 796 of the family's 1533-position model. The record is from RNAcentral.
GUGGGGAAUAUUGGGCAAUGGGCGAAAGCCUGACCCAGCAACGCCGCGUGAAGGAAGAAGGUUUUCGGAUCGUAAACUUCUAUCCUUGGUGAAGAUAAUGACGGUAGCCAAGAAGGAAGCCCCGGCUAACUACGUGCCAGCAGCCGCGGUAAUACGUAGGGGGCAAGCGUUGUCCGGAAUGAUUGGGCGUAAAGGGCGCGUAGGCGGCCUGGUAAGUCUGGAGUGAAAGUCCUGCUUUUAAGGUGGGAAUUGCUUUGGAUACUGUCGGGCUUGAGUGCAGGAGAGGUAAGGGGAAUUCCCGGUGUAGCGGUGAAAUGCGUAGAGAUCGGGAGGAACACCAGUGGCGAAGGCGACUUACUGGACUGUAACUGACGCUGAGGCGCGAAAGUGUGGGGAGCAAACAGGAUUAGAAACCCCUGUAGUCC